UCAUGUCAAUUAACAAGCAUUUUAUUUAUUACAGUCACCAAUAUAUCCAAAUAUGAACACGGGUCUGACAGUCAUUCACCACAUUCAACUCGGCUAGUACCAGUAAGGUGUCAUCAAUUGAAAUGGUCACAGUAUCCAAGACACUGAAGUCACAGAACUCAAAUUCCAUAGAUGUACACAGGGAAUGGUCAACCUGGCCACCAGUGGGAAUGGGGGCACCAACCCCUGCACAGAGACCUCUGAUGGAGCUGCCCGGACCGUGAUUAGAAGAGUGAGCAGCACUGUGCGCCCGACCAGCAAAGUUUCUCGUGAAAGUGACAUUACGAGGUAGGGAUCGUCGCAGAGUUCUGUUGAAGCUUUCGACCUUUUGUGAGUUGCUGUUUUUGAUCGUCCUGUCCAGUACAGCUGGACACAACCUCUUUGAGAUGCAGGCAUGGAGCCUUGCCUCGUUCUCGACUGAAGACGCAGACCGUCCUUAUAGAGGGAAUCUGCAGCUCGACCAGCGGAGCUGUCCGGGUCAGUGGUUACCUCCCUUACCUCGAGGCCAUCUUUGCAGAGGAGUUCCGCCAUCCCCUCCCGAGCCCAUGUGAACUCAUCCCCUAUCGUAUGCUGCAUGGGUAGGUUUGCCCCACACACCCCAGGACUACAUUGGUGGUUAGCAGUGCCCUCCUCCAGGACUUACGAGAAGGAGGGGGAGUGUUAGUAGAAAGAAGAAUUUUCCUCAUCCCAUCAUUGCCUAUGGGGGUUUGACUUAGGCCCACCUGAAGCCCAUAAUUAACAGUGGCAGCUUUUCUACCCCGGGUUUUGGACUCUACCUCCUCAUACAGAUUAUACCGCCUCGAUGCAUAUCUACACGUGGUGCAGCAGAGGCCCAAUCUGCUUCCAAGGCCUCGCCUCUCUUCGGUAGCCAGGUCCCAUGAUAGUGGUCCAUCACAGCCUGGUUUCUCAUGCCGGUGGACUCGCAUGACCUCAUUCCACAUCUCGGCUGUUUUUCUUAGAUGUAGGAGUCUAUGGGAAUUUUGGUUAGCCAGCCUAGGCCCUCCUGAACACUUUCAUUGUUUGGCUUCCUUGGCCUGAGGAGGUGGUGGCACUUGGGUCGCAGCAUCAUUUCCUGCCUUUCAGCAGCUGAGGGAGUCACCGUCACCAUCUGAUGCAUGUCCUCAGACAGUCUCCUGUACGGUGCAGUCACCAAUAUAUCCAAAUAUGAACACGGGUCUGACAGUCAUUCACCACAUUCAACUCGGCUAGUACCAGUAAGGUGUCAUCAAUUGAAAUGGUCACAGUAUCCAAGACACUGAAGUCACAGAACUCAAAUUCCAUAGAUGUACACAGGGAAUGGUCAACCUGGCCACCAGUGGGAAUGGGGGCACCAACCCCUGCACAGAGACCUCUGAUGGAGCUGCCCGGACCGUGAUUAGAAGAGUGAGCAGCACUGUGCGCCCGACCAGCAAAGUUUCUCGUGAAAGUGACAUUACGAGGUAGGGAUCGUCGCAGAGUUCUGUUGAAGCUUUCGACCUUUUGUGAGUUGCUGUUUUUGAUCGUCCUGUCCAGUACAGCUGGACACAACCUCUUUGAGAUGCAGGCAUGGAGCCUUGCCUCGUUCUCGACUGAAGACGCAGACCGUCCUUAUAGAGGGAAUCUGCAGCUCGACCAGCGGAGCUGUCCGGGUCAGUGGUUACCUCCCUUACCUCGAGGCCAUCUUUGCAGAGGAGUUCCGCCAUCCCCUCCCGAGCCCAUGUGAACUCAUCCCCUAUUGUAUGCUGCAUGGGUAGGUUUGCCCCACACACCCCAGGACUACAUUGGUGGUUAGCAGUGCCCUCCUCCAGGACUUACGAGAAGGAGGGGGAGUGUUAGUAGAAAGAAGAAUUUUCCUCAUCCCAUCAUUGCCUAUGGGGGUUUGACUUAGGCCCACCUGAAGCCCAUAAUUAACAGUGGCAGCUUUUCUACCCCGGGUUUUGGACUCUACCUCCUCAUACAGAUUAUACCGCCUCGAUGCAUAUCCACACGUGGUGCAGCAGAGGCCCAAUCUGCUUCCAAGGCCUCGCCUCUCUUCGGUAGCCAGGUCCCAUGAUAGUGGUCCAUCACAGCCUGGUUUCUCAUGCCGGUGGACUCGCAUGACCUCAUUCCACAUCUCGGCUGUUUUUCUUAGAUGUAGGAGUCUAUGGGAAUUUUGGUUAGCCAGCCUAGGCCCUCCUGAACACUUUCAUUGUUUGGCUUCCUUGGCCUGAGGAGGUGGUGGCACUUGGGUCGCAGCAUCAUUUCCUGCCUUUCAGCAGCUGAGGGAGUCACCGUCACCAUCUGAUGCAUGUCCUCAGACAGUCUCCUGUACGGUGCAGUCACCAAUAUAUCCAAAUAUGAACACGGGUCUGACAGUCAUUCACCACAUUCAACUCGGCUAGUACCAGUAAGGUGUCAUCAAUUGAAAUGGUCACAGUAUCCAAGACACUGAAGUCACAGAACUCAAAUUCCAUAGAUGUACACAGGGAAUGGUCAACCUGGCCACCAGUGGGAAUGGGGGCACCAACCCCUGCACAGAGACCUCUGAUGGAGCUGCCCGGACCGUGAUUAGAAGAGUGAGCAGCACUGUGCGCCCGACCAGCAAAGUUUCUCGUGAAAGUGACAUUACGAGGUAGGGAUCGUCGCAGAGUUCUGUUGAAGCUUUCGACCUUUUGUGAGUUGCUGUUUUUGAUCGUCCUGUCCAGUACAGCUGGACACAACCUCUUUGAGAUGCAGGCAUGGAGCCUUGCCUCGUUCUCGACUGAAGACGCAGACCGUCCUUAUAGAGGGAAUCUGCAGCUCGACCAGCGGAGCUGUCCGGGUCAGUGGUUACCUCCCUUACCUCGAGGCCAUCUUUGCAGAGGAGUUCCGCCAUCCCCUCCCGAGCCCAUGUGAACUCAUCCCCUAUCGUAUGCUGCAUGGGUAGGUUUGCCCCACACACCCCAGGACUACAUUGGUGGUUAGCAGUGCCCUCCUCCAGGACUUACGAGAAGGAGGGGGAGUGUUAGUAGAAAGAAGAAUUUUCCUCAUCCCAUCAUUGCCUAUGGGGGUUUGACUUAGGCCCACCUGAAGCCCAUAAUUAACAGUGGCAGCUUUUCUACCCCGGGUUUUGGACUCUACCUCCUCAUACAGAUUAUACCGCCUCGAUGCAUAUCUACACGUGGUGCAGCAGAGGCCCAAUCUGCUUCCAAGGCCUCGCCUCUCUUCGGUAGCCAGGUCCCAUGAUAGUGGUCCAUCACAGCCUGGUUUCUCAUGCCGGUGGACUCGCAUGACCUCAUUCCACAUCUCGGCUGUUUUUCUUAGAUGUAGGAGUCUAUGGGAAUUUUGGUUAGCCAGCCUAGGCCCUCCUGAACACUUUCAUUGUUUGGCUUCCUUGGCCUGAGGAGGUGGUGGCACUUGGGUCGCAGCAUCAUUUCCUGCCUUUCAGCAGCUGAGGGAGUCACCGUCACCAUCUGAUGCAUGUCCUCAGACAGUCUCCUGUACGGUGCAGUCACCAAUAUAUCCAAAUAUGAACACGGGUCUGACAGUCAUUCACCACAUUCAACUCGGCUAGUACCAGUAAGGUGUCAUCAAUUGAAAUGGUCACAGUAUCCAAGACACUGAAGUCACAGAACUCAAAUUCCAUAGAUGUACACAGGGAAUGGUCAACCUGGCCACCAGUGGGAAUGGGGGCACCAACCCCUGCACAGAGACCUCUGAUGGAGCUGCCCGGACCGUGAUUAGAAGAGUGAGCAGCACUGUGCGCCCGACCAGCAAAGUUUCUCGUGAAAGUGACAUUACGAGGUAGGGAUCGUCGCAGAGUUCUGUUGAAGCUUUCGACCUUUUGUGAGUUGCUGUUUUUGAUCGUCCUGUCCAGUACAGCUGGACACAACCUCUUUGAGAUGCAGGCAUGGAGCCUUGCCUCGUUCUCGACUGAAGACGCAGACCGUCCUUAUAGAGGGAAUCUGCAGCUCGACCAGCGGAGCUGUCCGGGUCAGUGGUUACCUCCCUUACCUCGAGGCCAUCUUUGCAGAGGAGUUCCGCCAUCCCCUCCCGAGCCCAUGUGAACUCAUCCCCUAUCGUAUGCUGCAUGGGUAGGUUUGCCCCACACACCCCAGGACUACAUUGGUGGUUAGCAGUGCCCUCCUCCAGGACUUACGAGAAGGAGGGGGAGUGUUAGUAGAAAGAAGAAUUUUCCUCAUCCCAUCAUUGCCUAUGGGGGUUUGACUUAGGCCCACCUGAAGCCCAUAAUUAACAGUGGCAGCUUUUCUACCCCGGGUUUUGGACUCUACCUCCUCAUACAGAUUAUACCGCCUCGAUGCAUAUCCACACGUGGUGCAGCAGAGGCCCAAUCUGCUUCCAAGGCCUCGCCUCUCUUCGGUAGCCAGGUCCCAUGAUAGUGGUCCAUCACAGCCUGGUUUCUCAUGCCGGUGGACUCGCAUGACCUCAUUCCACAUCUCGGCUGUUUUUCUUAGAUGUAGGAGUCUAUGGGAAUUUUGGUUAGCCAGCCUAGGCCCUCCUGAACACUUUCAUUGUUUGGCUUCCUUGGCCUGAGGAGGUGGUGGCACUUGGGUCGCAGCAUCAUUUCCUGCCUUUCAGCAGCUGAGGGAGUCACCGUCACCAUCUGAUGCAUGUCCUCAGACAGUCUCCUGUACGGUGCAGUCACCAAUAUAUCCAAAUAUGAACACGGGUCUGACAGUCAUUCACCACAUUCAACUCGGCUAGUACCAGUAAGGUGUCAUCAAUUGAAAUGGUCACAGUAUCCAAGACACUGAAGUCACAGAACUCAAAUUCCAUAGAUGUACACAGGGAAUGGUCAACCUGGCCACCAGUGGGAAUGGGGGCACCAACCCCUGCACAGAGACCUCUGAUGGAGCUGCCCGGACCGUGAUUAGAAGAGUGAGCAGCACUGUGCGCCCGACCAGCAAAGUUUCUCGUGAAAGUGACAUUACGAGGUAGGGAUCGUCGCAGAGUUCUGUUGAAGCUUUCGACCUUUUGUGAGUUGCUGUUUUUGAUCGUCCUGUCCAGUACAGCUGGACACAACCUCUUUGAGAUGCAGGCAUGGAGCCUUGCCUCGUUCUCGACUGAAGACGCAGACCGUCCUUAUAGAGGGAAUCUGCAGCUCGACCAGCGGAGCUGUCCGGGUCAGUGGUUACCUCCCUUACCUCGAGGCCAUCUUUGCAGAGGAGUUCCGCCAUCCCCUCCCGAGCCCAUGUGAACUCAUCCCCUAUCGUAUGCUGCAUGGGUAGGUUUGCCCCACACACCCCAGGACUACAUUGGUGGUUAGCAGUGCCCUCCUCCAGGACUUACGAGAAGGAGGGGGAGUGUUAGUAGAAAGAAGAAUUUUCCUCAUCCCAUCAUUGCCUAUGGGGGUUUGACUUAGGCCCACCUGAAGCCCAUAAUUAACAGUGGCAGCUUUUCUACCCCGGGUUUUGGACUCUACCUCCUCAUACAGAUUAUACCGCCUCGAUGCAUAUCUACACGUGGUGCAGCAGAGGCCCAAUCUGCUUCCAAGGCCUCGCCUCUCUUCGGUAGCCAGGUCCCAUGAUAGUGGUCCAUCACAGCCUGGUUUCUCAUGCCGGUGGACUCGCAUGACCUCAUUCCACAUCUCGGCUGUUUUUCUUAGAUGUAGGAGUCUAUGGGAAUUUUGGUUAGCCAGCCUAGGCCCUCCUGAACACUUUCAUUGUUUGGCUUCCUUGGCCUGAGGAGGUGGUGGCACUUGGGUCGCAGCAUCAUUUCCUGCCUUUCAGCAGCUGAGGGAGUCACCGUCACCAUCUGAUGCAUGUCCUCAGACAGUCUCCUGUACGGUGCAGUCACCAAUAUAUCCAAAUAUGAACACGGGUCUGACAGUCAUUCACCACAUUCAACUCGGCUAGUACCAGUAAGGUGUCAUCAAUUGAAAUGGUCACAGUAUCCAAGACACUGAAGUCACAGAACUCAAAUUCCAUAGAUGUACACAGGGAAUGGUCAACCUGGCCACCAGUGGGAAUGGGGGCACCAACCCCUGCACAGAGACCUCUGAUGGAGCUGCCCGGACCGUGAUUAGAAGAGUGAGCAGCACUGUGCGCCCGACCAGCAAAGUUUCUCGUGAAAGUGACAUUACGAGGUAGGGAUCGUCGCAGAGUUCUGUUGAAGCUUUCGACCUUUUGUGAGUUGCUGUUUUUGAUCGUCCUGUCCAGUACAGCUGGACACAACCUCUUUGAGAUGCAGGCAUGGAGCCUUGCCUCGUUCUCGACUGAAGACGCAGACCGUCCUUAUAGAGGGAAUCUGCAGCUCGACCAGCGGAGCUGUCCGGGUCAGUGGUUACCUCCCUUACCUCGAGGCCAUCUUUGCAGAGGAGUUCCGCCAUCCCCUCCCGAGCCCAUGUGAACUCAUCCCCUAUCGUAUGCUGCAUGGGUAGGUUUGCCCCACACACCCCAGGACUACAUUGGUGGUUAGCAGUGCCCUCCUCCAGGACUUACGAGAAGGAGGGGGAGUGUUAGUAGAAAGAAGAAUUUUCCUCAUCCCAUCAUUGCCUAUGGGGGUUUGACUUAGGCCCACCUGAAGCCCAUAAUUAACAGUGGCAGCUUUUCUACCCCGGGUUUUGGACUCUACCUCCUCAUACAGAUUAUACCGCCUCGAUGCAUAUCCACACGUGGUGCAGCAGAGGCCCAAUCUGCUUCCAAGGCCUCGCCUCUCUUCGGUAGCCAGGUCCCAUGAUAGUGGUCCAUCACAGCCUGGUUUCUCAUGCCGGUGGACUCGCAUGACCUCAUUCCACAUCUCGGCUGUUUUUCUUAGAUGUAGGAGUCUAUGGGAAUUUUGGUUAGCCAGCCUAGGCCCUCCUGAACACUUUCAUUGUUUGGCUUCCUUGGCCUGAGGAGGUGGUGGCACUUGGGUCGCAGCAUCAUUUCCUGCCUUUCAGCAGCUGAGGGAGUCACCGUCACCAUCUGAUGCAUGUCCUCAGACAGUCUCCUGUACGGUGCAGUCACCAAUAUAUCCAAAUAUGAACACGGGUCUGACAGUCAUUCACCACAUUCAACUCGGCUAGUACCAGUAAGGUGUCAUCAAUUGAAAUGGUCACAGUAUCCAAGACACUGAAGUCACAGAACUCAAAUUCCAUAGAUGUACACAGGUAAGUGUUAAGUCUUUGAAAAUCACUAAAUUGACUAAUUCUGAGGUAGGUAAAAAUGUAAGUAUAGGAAAAAGAGUACCAAAGACCCAGAUUUUUACAUCAUUUCCUGGUUGAACAAGAUUUAGCAGAGUAAAAAAUGGCUAGGCUUUACCUGAUUGGCUGAAUUCAGGGAAUGGUCAACCUGGCCACCAGUGGGAAUGGGGGCACCAACCCCUGCACAGAGACCUCUGAUGGAGCUGCCCGGACCGUGAUUAGAAGAGUGAGCAGCACUGUGCGCCCGACCAGCAAAGUUUCUCGUGAAAGUGACAUUACGAGGUAGGGAUCGUCGCAGAGUUCUGUUGAAGCUUUCGACCUUUUGUGAGUUGCUGUUUUUGAUCGUCCUGUCCAGUACAGCUGGACACAACCUCUUUGAGAUGCAGGCAUGGAGCCUUGCCUCGUUCUCGACUGAAGACGCAGACCGUCCUUAUAGAGGGAAUCUGCAGCUCGACCAGCGGAGCUGUCCGGGUCAGUGGUUACCUCCCUUACCUCGAGGCCAUCUUUGCAGAGGAGUUCCGCCAUCCCCUCCCGAGCCCAUGUGAACUCAUCCCCUAUCGUAUGCUGCAUGGGUAGGUUUGCCCCACACACCCCAGGACUACAUUGGUGGUUAGCAGUGCCCUCCUCCAGGACUUACGAGAAGGAGGGGGAGUGUUAGUAGAAAGAAGAAUUUUCCUCAUCCCAUCAUUGCCUAUGGGGGUUUGACUUAGGCCCACCUGAAGCCCAUAAUUAACAGUGGCAGCUUUUCUACCCCGGGUUUUGGACUCUACCUCCUCAUACAGAUUAUACCGCCUCGAUGCAUAUCCACACGUGGUGCAGCAGAGGCCCAAUCUGCUUCCAAGGCCUCGCCUCUCUUCGGUAGCCAGGUCCCAUGAUAGUGGUCCAUCACAGCCUGGUUUCUCAUGCCGGUGGACUCGCAUGACCUCAUUCCACAUCUCGGCUGUUUUUCUUAGAUGUAGGAGUCUAUGGGAAUUUUGGUUAGCCAGCCUAGGCCCUCCUGAACACUUUCAUUGUUUGGCUUCCUUGGCCUGAGGAGGUGGUGGCACUUGGGUCGCAGCAUCAUUUCCUGCCUUUCAGCAGCUGAGGGAGUCACCGUCACCAUCUGAUGCAUGUCCUCAGACAGUCUCCUGUACGGUGCAGUCACCAAUAUAUCCAAAUAUGAACACGGGUCUGACAGUCAUUCACCACAUUCAACUCGGCUAGUACCAGUAAGGUGUCAUCAAUUGAAAUGGUCACAGUAUCCAAGACACUGAAGUCACAGAACUCAAAUUCCAUAGAUGUACACAGGGAAUGGUCAACCUGGCCACCAGUGGGAAUGGGGGCACCAACCCCUGCACAGAGACCUCUGAUGGAGCUGCCCGGACCGUGAUUAGAAGAGUGAGCAGCACUGUGCGCCCGACCAGCAAAGUUUCUCGUGAAAGUGACAUUACGAGGUAGGGAUCGUCGCAGAGUUCUGUUGAAGCUUUCGACCUUUUGUGAGUUGCUGUUUUUGAUCGUCCUGUCCAGUACAGCUGGACACAACCUCUUUGAGAUGCAGGCAUGGAGCCUUGCCUCGUUCUCGACUGAAGACGCAGACCGUCCUUAUAGAGGGAAUCUGCAGCUCGACCAGCGGAGCUGUCCGGGUCAGUGGUUACCUCCCUUACCUCGAGGCCAUCUUUGCAGAGGAGUUCCGCCAUCCCCUCCCGAGCCCAUGUGAACUCAUCCCCUAUCGUAUGCUGCAUGGGUAGGUUUGCCCCACACACCCCAGGACUACAUUGGUGGUUAGCAGUGCCCUCCUCCAGGACUUACGAGAAGGAGGGGGAGUGUUAGUAGAAAGAAGAAUUUUCCUCAUCCCAUCAUUGCCUAUGGGGGUUUGACUUAGGCCCACCUGAAGCCCAUAAUUAACAGUGGCAGCUUUUCUACCCCGGGUUUUGGACUCUACCUCCUCAUACAGAUUAUACCGCCUCGAUGCAUAUCCACACGUGGUGCAGCAGAGGCCCAAUCUGCUUCCAAGGCCUCGCCUCUCUUCGGUAGCCAGGUCCCAUGAUAGUGGUCCAUCACAGCCUGGUUUCUCAUGCCGGUGGACUCGCAUGACCUCAUUCCACAUCUCGGCUGUUUUUCUUAGAUGUAGGAGUCUAUGGGAAUUUUGGUUAGCCAGCCUAGGCCCUCCUGAACACUUUCAUUGUUUGGCUUCCUUGGCCUGAGGAGGUGGUGGCACUUGGGUCGCAGCAUCAUUUCCUGCCUUUCAGCAGCUGAGGGAGUCACCGUCACCAUCUGAUGCAUGUCCUCAGACAGUCUCCUGUACGGUGCAGUCACCAAUAUAUCCAAAUAUGAACACGGGUCUGACAGUCAUUCACCACAUUCAACUCGGCUAGUACCAGUAAGGUGUCAUCAAUUGAAAUGGUCACAGUAUCCAAGACACUGAAGUCACAGAACUCAAAUUCCAUAGAUGUACACAGGGAAUGGUCAACCUGGCCACCAGUGGGAAUGGGGGCACCAACCCCUGCACAGAGACCUCUGAUGGAGCUGCCCGGACCGUGAUUAGAAGAGUGAGCAGCACUGUGCGCCCGACCAGCAAAGUUUCUCGUGAAAGUGACAUUACGAGGUAGGGAUCGUCGCAGAGUUCUGUUGAAGCUUUCGACCUUUUGUGAGUUGCUGUUUUUGAUCGUCCUGUCCAGUACAGCUGGACACAACCUCUUUGAGAUGCAGGCAUGGAGCCUUGCCUCGUUCUCGACUGAAGACGCAGACCGUCCUUAUAGAGGGAAUCUGCAGCUCGACCAGCGGAGCUGUCCGGGUCAGUGGUUACCUCCCUUACCUCGAGGCCAUCUUUGCAGAGGAGUUCCGCCAUCCCCUCCCGAGCCCAUGUGAACUCAUCCCCUAUCGUAUGCUGCAUGGGUAGGUUUGCCCCACACACCCCAGGACUACAUUGGUGGUUAGCAGUGCCCUCCUCCAGGACUUACGAGAAGGAGGGGGAGUGUUAGUAGAAAGAAGAAUUUUCCUCAUCCCAUCAUUGCCUAUGGGGGUUUGACUUAGGCCCACCUGAAGCCCAUAAUUAACAGUGGCAGCUUUUCUACCCCGGGUUUUGGACUCUACCUCCUCAUACAGAUUAUACCGCCUCGAUGCAUAUCUACACGUGGUGCAGCAGAGGCCCAAUCUGCUUCCAAGGCCUCGCCUCUCUUCGGUAGCCAGGUCCCAUGAUAGUGGUCCAUCACAGCCUGGUUUCUCAUGCCGGUGGACUCGCAUGACCUCAUUCCACAUCUCGGCUGUUUUUCUUAGAUGUAGGAGUCUAUGGGAAUUUUGGUUAGCCAGCCUAGGCCCUCCUGAACACUUUCAUUGUUUGGCUUCCUUGGCCUGAGGAGGUGGUGGCACUUGGGUCGCAGCAUCAUUUCCUGCCUUUCAGCAGCUGAGGGAGUCACCGUCACCAUCUGAUGCAUGUCCUCAGACAGUCUCCUGUACGGUGCAGUCACCAAUAUAUCCAAAUAUGAACACGGGUCUGACAGUCAUUCACCACAUUCAACUCG
Long non-coding RNA from Saccostrea cuccullata (small rock oyster), 10620 nucleotides. RefSeq lists it as uncharacterized. Lineage: Eukaryota; Metazoa; Mollusca; Bivalvia; Ostreida; Ostreidae. The record is from RefSeq and is a predicted model, not a curated record. The transcript has 46 exons.